This is a long non-coding RNA of Coturnix japonica (Japanese quail), 5167 nucleotides long. RefSeq lists it as uncharacterized. The record is from RefSeq and is a predicted model, not a curated record. Lineage: Eukaryota; Metazoa; Chordata; Aves; Galliformes; Phasianidae.
CCACCGGGCACAGAGGGCUCCCCGUGCUGCCCCUCACAGCGGGGCAGGCUGCACUGCUCACACCGUGCUUUGGUCCCUCUUGAAUCACACAGAUUGACCACAAGACGUAUUUGAGACGUCUCAAGGCAAGAUGCAAAGCUCAGAAUUGCCUUCUUAGCCAACCCCGUGCACAGGCAGAGCCUUCAGCCCCUGGAAGCACUCCCAGCUCCCUGCCCCCACACACAGCCAUUGUGCCUGGCAGCAGCUUUCCCUCCGGAGGUUUCCAUCAGCUCCAGGAUCUCACAUCCCUCACGUUCCUCCUUUGAUUUCUAAACCUCCUUUCACUCCAAAGCCUCCCAGAGAGGAGCCUCCUAUAGGGAUAACAUCGCUCCCUGCUAACAGCAAUUAACGCUUGCUAAGAACGUUCCAUCAGGCAGCACAACAUCCCGCUAUGUUGCUCAGUGCUUGGAGCUCCGCUCUGAUCGCCUGCACUCUCAUUUGCUUUCCCUGCAGCCGGGAUUGGGGUGUGCUUCAGCCCAGCAUCGCUGAUGGAGCUCAGCACAACGUGAACCAGCUGAAUUCCUGGGGACCCUACACAACACAGCAAACACAGAAGCUGCUAAGAUAUUUCUCCUAGGAAUUGUAUUGAUUCAGCAGGUCUAUUCCCAGCGUGAGCCCUUAUCUGAGAGAAUUCCCUGCAGUUUGGAACCAGGCUGCCAAGACUUAGAGAUGCUCUGAGCCCUGAGCAAAGCACACAACUCGCUAGUCAACAUCCUGAGCACAGGGUACAUGGACCUUGGCUGCUCUGAGAUGUCAGUAUGUCAAAGACAGCAUGGCUUAAAAGAAUCAUGAAGGCUGGAAAACCACCUAAGACCACCCAACCCAGCCAUCCCUUGUGCCUGUGACGUGCCUUCCUUUGGAGGAACACGUUGCCUUUGAGUGGCACCAAACACUGUGGGAGUCCAAACCACAAGUGAACUGUGGAGCAGCCAGCUGCCCUGGUUUGGAUCACACACCCUCUGGUAGGGAAACGAGGCAGUGGUGUUCCUCACUUACCCGUCCAACAGGGAGUUGAAGCCAAUGACCGCGUUGUCUCGCUCUGCCGCUACCACCAGGCACAGACCGUCCUUCAAGAGGGAGCACUGAGAGAGGGAAGAGCACAGCCUUGGUUUGUUACCCGCUUAGGUAAGGCUGUAAGCCUCAAUGAUGAGCUGCUGACAGCUGAGAUAACUGCUGUGUGUGGGGAGGAAGGAGAGCAGCAGACACACUGAAAGAGUAUCACGUCUGAACUGUUGGCUCACCCAUUCCUACGGCACACCACUAUUCCUGCUCCCUCCCCUCAGAGUGAAAAUAAGCCGGGUUGUGGUUGUGUUAUUCACCCACUGAUUGUGCUGGAAACAGGAACAUGGAUGGAACUGCAACAACACACCCAUUGGCUUCAUCCUUCCUAGAGAGUUGUGCACAUUCUGCAUUGCAUCCUCAGGGGAUCUGCAGGGCAGUGCUCAGACUAAUUGGACGCUGGCUGUAAUUGCUUUCAUGUGCAGAUGUACCUCAAAGGGAUGCUGUCAGCUUCAAAAGUCCCAACCUGAAAAGAUCUUACCUGCUUUAUUAUUGGUUGCACCCGAGACACUCAGAAAUACUGAUGGGCUGCAAACAGAAAUGCUUUUAUUUUUUCCUUAGGAAUCUCUGCAUGGUUCUGACAGCCCUUUGUUGAUUGCUGCUGCCACUAUAAGUAGCUCCCCCCCACUGAUGACUCUCUCCUCCUCCUGACAGUGUUUGCUUGCACGCUCCCCCUUAUCGCCUUGCUCUAGCAAGGCUCCUGCAAUGGUGGAUUUAUCCUAUACUAAGUACAAAGGGAAAAACAGCUUUGGUGUGAUGCUGCAUUGCUGUAAAGCAAAGUGUUGGCCGACCCCAGAAGCAGAGUUUGUGCUCACACCCCGUUGCUUAAAGCCCAUGUUGGAUGCAGUGCGAGUUGCCACCACCAGCCGAAUGAGAGAUGAAAUUCAAUGUCUGCCCAGAACUCCAGGGCACCGUCCAAGAAGUGGAAGGGUUAUUUAGCAUUAUAGAGGAGGAUUAAUGGAGUGUGAUUACAGAAAAGGAAAUAGAAAAUGCAUUUAUCUGGGAGAACAAGCCAAGAUACAACAGCAGAACAUACAUAACAGCAGCAACUGGGCACCGUGAUGCGAAUGGAAGAGCAUGUCUAAAGAGGACACAGCAUUCACAGUGAGGUUAUAUUUGCACAUCAUGAUGUCAAGUUUGGGUGUCUGUGAGUUAAUGGAGAUACAGGAGCACAAAGCUGGUGAGGCACAUGGCCCACAUUACUUACUAGUGCAUAAGAGAUCAGACUGCAGCACGGUGCUAACGCUGCUACCAAAGCUGGUCUGCUCAGAGCCAGCACAGCAUCAAACAACUCCUCUUCCACGGGGAAAGAAGCAAAGCACAAACCCGGACUUCAUACCUUUGCUUCCACACCACACUUGGCCCCGCUCAGUAUCUUGGAGAUGCAAUGAGCCUGAGGUGCAUCCAGCACAGUGAGGCGAACUCCAGUCACCGUGAAACCUUUGCCAAUGAGCUGAUCGAGCAGCUCAACAUAAGGUGGGUCGGAACCCCGGAGGAUUAUGGCCGGCAGGAUGAGACAAGUGGUUUGGCAGAGGUUGCUGAGCACUGGCCGAUCUGCUGGGAAAAGAGCAAAACACAGCAGCUGCUUUAGAUCAACCCCUUUGACUGCUCACCCUCCGAGUCAUUCCUCCUUGCUGCAGAUGUAACCAGCCCAUCAGAGACACUCCACAUCACGGUGCCAUUUGGGAUGCUCACAGAUGUGACUGCUCAUCCCAAACAUGUGUGUAUCAGGGGACCACCAUGCAGCAGCAGUGACCCCAUUCCAGGAGUCAGCCAAGGACAGCUGCUGGCUCAAUACAGGAGAUGCUCCUCCACUUACUUUCUCCCAAGCAAAGAAAUCUGCUAAUCCAGCUGCUUUCAUAAUCCGAAAUGCAAUUCUCAGCAACAUACGUAAGAUUUAACGCAGUUCAUAUUUUCCCCGCGAUCAAUCUGUCCAUCCUUUAGGCUUUGGGAUCCUUAUUUGCCACAAGGAGACGUUUCCUUGCGUGCAAGAGCUACCUCUAGCGUCCAAGAAGGGGCCACCAAGUGAAUGAUGCUCCUGGCUCGCUGGCAUCGCUCACUGUAUUGAGCCUGACAGCCCAAAAUCACGUGUGCUCGCUUUUCCAGGACAGCAGCUCUUUGAAAUGCAUUCUCUGAGACACAAACACAUCAGGGCUGCACGCUGCUUUCCUUUCCACUCGGCAGCUUCAAAGCCGAGAGAUUCUCACGGAGCAGGAAAUUGAGGGCACAUACUUGGAGGUUUGCUUUGCAGGCUGUACAGAACCUGCAGAAUCCUCACUAUUUCCAAGCCGAGCUCUCAGUGUUAUCAUUACUCUUGUUUCAGGGCUCAUACAGUGGCCAUGGAAUAGCAGCAAUGUUGAGAGAUGGACCUCAGCACAGCCAAUGGUUUAAUAAUGGACCUUCAUGCAGCCAACCUCUAUUAGUGUGCAGCAUGAGACAAGGAGCUUGCCAGCCUUAAUUGUGUGACUUCUGUCAGGGUCACAAAGCAUGUGUAGGGCACAGCCCAAAGCUGAUAGGAGACAGUGGAAUGAACCCACUGGAAACAGCCUUGGGAACUGAAUGAGAUCUCAGCCCUGUUCCCAUGAGAUGGAUGUUUGCAAUGCCCAGAGCACCCACACACAAACUGCUGCUUAUCUACACCCUGAACUAAAGGUCCCCCAUUGCCCAUCACUGUGGUGCCUUGGUCUCUCCCAAGGCUGGCUUUGAAUGGAUGUGCAAACCACGGUGGCCAAGCAGGUGUUAAAACACACUAUAAAUGUUCAGCAGCAUUCACUGGUGCUUUAUGUUAUCUUUAUGUUAUGUUCUGCUGCUGACGAGGUCAGCACUCCUUGUCAGCCCUAUGUUUAAACCCACAAAAGAAAGGCCCUGCAGGCUAAGAGUGAACUGGCUGGGCUCCAUCAGAGCUGUUCUUUGUAGCUCGGAGUCCUCUCUCCCUUCUGAAAGGGCAUCAAUCCCAGAUCCUGCUACCACCAGAUGGUUUGUCUUGCUGUCCAAUUAAUCAAUAACAGCCUCAAUCUAUAACAAGAGUCACUCAUUUCCUUACCAAGAUCAUGUGGUUGCCCAGAGCCCAGUAAAUGGAGUUGCCCUCCUGCCUCACGCCUUAUGAUUUUGUGCUGCUUGUUGAUUUCCACGCUGACUGUGGGGUCACGUUCCAGGUUAUGGAUCUGCAGGAAGGAAGGGAGGGGGAGGCAAGUCAUGUGAGCACCGUUACCUAUCAGGAAGGAAAGCAUUUAUAAGGAUUGAUUCCAUUUAUAAGGAUUGAUUCAGGCAAGCUGUGAAGGUUUGGAUGGCGUUGGGUACUCCUGUAAUUACCAGCCUAGAAAACACCUGGUUGUCUGGAGAUAAAAGAACACUUUGCAUGCAUUUGUUCUUAUUGGGGUUUAACUAAGUGUGGCAUCUUGCUGUCCUUUAAAGCUCCUGCAUCCAGACAUCUUCCUAAGGUCUCCAUUCCCAGCUCUUUAAGGCCAGGGACUUGAGGACCCCAAGGGUACAGCAUCUUUACCCAGCACCAAAGGAGCAGGUAGCAGCUCCCUCCUGCCAUGGAACAAACUGUCACAUCCACACAUCCCAGCACAGCGUGAAAAGCUGGUAACAAUCAGCCUCUGGGUCAGCUGUGUGGAAGCAAUCAUGGGUGAUGCUGGUGUUGUUCCCCGUGACCUGCUUCCAAAGCGGUCUUGGCUCAGUGUGGGAAUUUGGCUUCUAAAGCAACAGCCCUGAGCCUUCCUGGAUUUAUAGCACAGGUCACUGAACAAACACAUCUGAAAAAGCACUUUUCCUCUGAGACUGUCUGGGUCAAUACCAAGUCAGCACAUUGUGGCAGGGACAUCCAGAGGAGAAGGAAAUCUCAGCAGCUGGUGAAACACAGCAAGAAAGAAUUAUCUGAAGUGUAAGAGGAAGGAAAUGAAGGGCUAACAGGAGCAAAGCCAUUGCUCUGACACAGCAGGAGACCCUUCAGGAAAGGGCAGAAUCCCACCUCCUCCUCCUCCAGCAUCGGGCACUUGGAGCAGCACAGACCUUCUGGGAAGAACAGCUUCAUGUCCCGGAUGGACAUUUGGUAGGAGUUGGAGCC